CUACGAAGGGGGCUAGCGUUGUUCGGAAUUACUGGGCGUAAAGCGCGCGUAGGCGGAUUGGUCAGUUAGGGGGGAAAUCCCAGGGCUUAACCCUGGAACUGCCUCUAAUACUGCCAGUCUUGAGUUCGGGAGAGGUGAGUGGAAUUCCUAGUGUAGAGGUGAAAUUCGUAGAUAUUAGGAAGAACACCAGUGGCGAAGGCGGCUCACUGGCCCGAUACUGACGCUGAGGCGCGAAAGCGUGGGGAGCAAACAGGAUUAGAAACCCUAGUAGUCC
RNAcentral lists this ribosomal RNA (274 nucleotides) under uncultured bacterium. RNAcentral's name for it is "partial 16S ribosomal RNA". It matches the Rfam family "Bacterial small subunit ribosomal RNA", at positions 523 to 796 of the family's 1533-position model. The record is from RNAcentral.